RNAcentral lists this ribosomal RNA (497 nucleotides) under uncultured bacterium. RNAcentral describes it as "partial 16S ribosomal RNA". It matches the Rfam family "Bacterial small subunit ribosomal RNA", at positions 28 to 507 of the family's 1533-position model. The record is from RNAcentral.
GAUGAACGCUGGCGGCGUGCCUAAUACAUGCAAGUCGAGCGAACAGACGAGGAGCUUGCUCCUCUGACGUUAGCGGCGGACGGGUGAGUAACACGUGGAUAACCUACCUAUAAGACUGGGAUAACUUCGGGAAACCGGAGCUAAUACCGGAUAAUAUAUUGAACCGCAUGGUUCAAUAGUGAAAGACGGUUUUGCUGUCACUUAUAGAUGGAUCCGCGCCGCAUUAGCUAGGUGGUAAGGUAACGGCUUACCAAGGCGCCGAUGCGUAGCCGACCUGAGAGGGUGAUCGGCCACACUGGAACUGAGACACGGUCCAGACUCCUACGGGAGGCAGCAGUAGGGAAUCUUCCGCAAUGGGCGAAAGCCUGACGGAGCAACGCCGCGUGCGUGAUGAAGGUCUUCGGAUCGUAAACCUCUGUUAUUAGGGAAGAACAAAUGUGUAAGUAACUAUGCACGUCUUGACGGUACCUAAUCAGAAAGCCACGGCUAACUACGUG